UUCUUCUCCAGUUGGUACGCGGAUGG
RNAcentral lists this small nuclear RNA (26 nucleotides) under Arabidopsis thaliana (thale cress). Its description in RNAcentral is "snRNA_14872". Lineage: Eukaryota; Viridiplantae; Streptophyta; Magnoliopsida; Brassicales; Brassicaceae. The record is from RNAcentral.